AUUGAACGCUGGCGGCAGGCCUAACACAUGCAAGUCGAACGGUAACAGGAAGAAGCUUGCUUCUUUGCUGACGAGUGGCGGACGGGUGAGUAAUGUCUGGGAAACUGCCUGAUGGAGGGGGAUAACUACUGGAAACGGUAGCUAAUACCGCAUAACGUCGCAAGACCAAGGAGGGGGACCUUCGGGCCUCUUGCCAUCGGAUGUGCCCAGAUGGGAUUAGCUAGUAGGUGGGGUAACGGCUCACCUAGGCGACGAUCCCUAGCUGGUCUGAGAGGAUGACCAGCCACACUGGAACUGAGACACGGUCCAGACUCCUACGGGAGGCAGCAGUGGGGAAUAUUGCACAAUGGGCGCAAGCCUGAUGCAGCCAUACCGCGUGUAUGAAGAAGGCCUUCGGGUUGUAAAGUACUUUCAGCGGGGAGGAAGGGAGUAAAGUUAAUACCUUUACUCAUUGACGUUACCCGCAGAAGAAGCACCGGCUAACUCCGUG
RNAcentral lists this ribosomal RNA (490 nucleotides) under uncultured bacterium. RNAcentral's name for it is "partial 16S ribosomal RNA". It matches the Rfam family "Bacterial small subunit ribosomal RNA", at positions 30 to 507 of the family's 1533-position model. The record is from RNAcentral.